Molecule: ribosomal RNA, 397 nt
Filed under: uncultured bacterium
Lineage: Bacteria
Description: partial 16S ribosomal RNA
Rfam family: Bacterial small subunit ribosomal RNA
Source: RNAcentral
AUACGUAGGGCGCGAGCGUUGUCCGGAAUUACUGGGUGUAAAGGGCGCGUAGGCGGCCCGGUAAGUCUGGAGUGAAAGUCCUGUUUUUAAGAUGGGAAUUGCUUUGGAUACUGUCGGGCUUGAGUGCAGGAGAGGUAAGUGGAAUUCCCAGUGUAGCGGUGAAAUGCGUAGAGAUUGGGAGGAACACCAGUGGCGAAGGCGACUUACUGGACUGUAACUGACGCUGAGGCGCGAAAGUGUGGGGAGCAAACAGGAUUAGAUACCCUGGUAGUCCACACUGUAAACGAUGAAUGCUAGGUGUAGGGGGUAUCGACCCCUUCUGUGCCGCAGUCAACACAAUAAGCAUUCCGCCUGGGGAGUACGGCCGCAAGGUUGAAACUCAAAGGAAUUGACGGGG